This 478-nucleotide ribosomal RNA is filed under the name uncultured bacterium. Its description in RNAcentral is "partial 16S ribosomal RNA". It matches the Rfam family "Bacterial small subunit ribosomal RNA", at positions 28 to 506 of the family's 1533-position model. The record is from RNAcentral.
GAUGAACGCUAGCGGGAGGCCUAACACAUGCAAGCCGAGCGGUAUUGUUUCUUCGGAAAUGAGAGAGCGGCGUACGGGUGCGUAACACGUGUGCAACCUGCCUUUAUCUGGGGGAUAGCCUUCCGAAAGGAAGAUUAAUACUCCAUAAUAUAUUGAACGGCAUCGUUUAAUAUUGAAAGCUCCGGCGGAUAGAGAUGGGCACGCGCAAGAUUAGCUAGUUGGUGAGGUAACGGCUCACCAAGGCGAUGAUCUUUAGGGGGCCUGAGAGGGUGAUCCCCCACACUGGUACUGAGACACGGACCAGACUCCUACGGGAGGCAGCAGUGAGGAAUAUUGGUCAAUGGGUGCAAGCCUGAACCAGCCAUCCCGCGUGAAGGACGACUGCCCUAUGGGUUGUAAACUUCUUUUGUAUAGGGAUAAACCUACCCUCGAGAGGGUAGCGGAAGGUACUAUACGAAUAAGCACCGGCUAACUCCGU